GACGAACGCUGGCGACGCGCUUAACACAUGCAAGUCGAACGGAAAGGCCUGCUUUCCCUUGUGGAUUGCGGGUACUCGAGUGGCGAACGGGUGAGUAACACGUGAGUGAUCUGCCCCCAACUUGGGUAUAAGCCUGGGAAACUGGGUCUAAUUCCCGAUAGGACUGCAGGGUGGUGCCUGUGGUGGAAAACGAUUUUCUAGUGGUUGGGGAUGAGCUCGCGGCCUAUCAGCUUGUUGGUGGGGUAAUGGCCUACCAAGGCGGCGACGGGUAGCCGGCCUGGGAGGGUGGACGGCCACAUUGGGACUGAGAUACGGCCCAGACUCCUACGGGAGGCGGCAGUGGGGAAGAUUGCACAAUGGGCGGAAGCCUGAUGCAGCGACGCCGCGUGGGGGAUGACGGCCUUCGGGUUGUAAACUCCUUUCGACCGCGAGGAAGCCACCUGGUUGGAAGGGUGGUGACGGUAGUGGGAGAAGAAGCACCGGCUAACUACGUG
Molecule: ribosomal RNA, 494 nt
Filed under: uncultured bacterium
Lineage: Bacteria
Description: partial 16S ribosomal RNA
Rfam family: Bacterial small subunit ribosomal RNA
Source: RNAcentral